This 64-nucleotide transfer RNA is filed under the name Heterotermes sp. SLC-2012. Its description in RNAcentral is "tRNA-Glu". It matches the Rfam family "tRNA". From Rfam's summary of the family: Transfer RNA (tRNA) molecules are approximately 80 nucleotides in length. Their secondary structure includes four short double-helical elements and three loops (D, anti-codon, and T loops). The record is from RNAcentral. Lineage: Eukaryota; Metazoa; Arthropoda; Insecta; Blattodea; Rhinotermitidae. RNAcentral also lists the same sequence under 2 other names.
AUUUAUAUAGUUUAAUAAAACAUUACACUUUCACUGUAAAGAUAAAGACCAACUUUUAUAAAUA